This 23-nucleotide unclassified non-coding RNA is filed under the name Mus musculus (house mouse). RNAcentral's name for it is "oocyte_clustered_small_RNA8745". Lineage: Eukaryota; Metazoa; Chordata; Mammalia; Rodentia; Muridae. The record is from RNAcentral.
UAGGUAGGAGGGCAAACGUUUCA